AUUAACGAGAACUUACACUACUUUACGUAAUUACAUAUGACGAUCUAAUUGAGAUUGAUUAUUAUUUUUAAACAGUUAUGAGCAUCCCCAAUGUUCAUAACAUUUCUCCUUAACCGAAACUGUGAAAACAGAGUCGUUGUUAUACGCAAUGAUCACCCCAAUCAUUGCGUAUUUUUUUGUCUAUCACAAA
This 190-nucleotide small RNA is filed under the name Acinetobacter sp. TGL-Y2. Its description in RNAcentral is "Aar sRNA". It matches the Rfam family "Aar sRNA". Lineage: Bacteria; Pseudomonadati; Pseudomonadota; Gammaproteobacteria; Moraxellales; Moraxellaceae. The record is from Rfam by way of RNAcentral.